This 1000-nucleotide ribosomal RNA is filed under the name Enterococcus faecium. Its description in RNAcentral is "bacterial SSU rRNA". It matches the Rfam family "Bacterial small subunit ribosomal RNA", at positions 147 to 1133 of the family's 1533-position model. The record is from RNAcentral. Lineage: Bacteria; Bacillati; Bacillota; Bacilli; Lactobacillales; Enterococcaceae.
CACUUGGAAACAGGUGCUAAUACCGUAUAACAAUCAAAACCGCAUGGUUUUGAUUUGAAAGGCGCUUUCGGGUGUCGCUGAUGGAUGGACCCGCGGUGCAUUAGCUAGUUGGUGAGGUAACGGCUCACCAAGGCCACGAUGCAUAGCCGACCUGAGAGGGUGAUCGGCCACAUUGGGACUGAGACACGGCCCAAACUCCUACGGGAGGCAGCAGUAGGGAAUCUUCGGCAAUGGACGAAAGUCUGACCGAGCAACGCCGCGUGAGUGAAGAAGGUUUUCGGAUCGUAAAACUCUGUUGUUAGAGAAGAACAAGGAUGAGAGUAACUGUUCAUCCCUUGACGGUAUCUAACCAGAAAGCCACGGCUAACUACGUGCCAGCAGCCGCGGUAAUACGUAGGUGGCAAGCGUUGUCCGGAUUUAUUGGGCGUAAAGCGAGCGCAGGCGGUUUCUUAAGUCUGAUGUGAAAGCCCCCGGCUCAACCGGGGAGGGUCAUUGGAAACUGGGAGACUUGAGUGCAGAAGAGGAGAGUGGAAUUCCAUGUGUAGCGGUGAAAUGCGUAGAUAUAUGGAGGAACACCAGUGGCGAAGGCGGCUCUCUGGUCUGUAACUGACGCUGAGGCUCGAAAGCGUGGGGAGCAAACAGGAUUAGAUACCCUGGUAGUCCACGCCGUAAACGAUGAGUGCUAAGUGUUGGAGGGUUUCCGCCCUUCAGUGCUGCAGCUAACGCAUUAAGCACUCCGCCUGGGGAGUACGACCGCAAGGUUGAAACUCAAAGGAAUUGACGGGGGCCCGCACAAGCGGUGGAGCAUGUGGUUUAAUUCGAAGCAACGCGAAGAACCUUACCAGGUCUUGACAUCCUUUGACCACUCUAGAGAUAGAGCUUCCCCUUCGGGGGGCAAAGUGACAGGUGGUGCAUGGUUGUCGUCAGCUCGUGUCGUGAGAUGUUGGGUUAAGUCCCGCAACGAGCGCAACCCUUAUUGUUAGUUGCCAUCAUUCAGUUG